UACGUAGGGUGCAGGCGUUAAUCGGAAUUACUGGGCGUAAAGCGUGCGCAGGCGGUUUCUUAAGUCUGUCGUGAAAGCCCCGGGCUCAACCUGGGAAUGGCGAUGGAUACUGGCGGGCUAGAGUGCGGUAGAGGAGAGUGGAAUUCCCGGUGUAGCAGUGAAAUGCGUAGAGAUCGGGAGGAACAUCAGUUGCGAAGGCGGCUCUCUGGACCGAGACUGACGCUGAGGCGCGAAAGCGUGGGGAGCAAACAGG
Molecule: ribosomal RNA, 253 nt
Filed under: uncultured bacterium
Lineage: Bacteria
Description: partial 16S ribosomal RNA
Rfam family: Bacterial small subunit ribosomal RNA
Source: RNAcentral